RNAcentral lists this ribosomal RNA (1836 nucleotides) under Escherichia coli. RNAcentral describes it as "partial 23S ribosomal RNA". It matches the Rfam family "Bacterial large subunit ribosomal RNA", at positions 165 to 2025 of the family's 2925-position model. Lineage: Bacteria; Pseudomonadati; Pseudomonadota; Gammaproteobacteria; Enterobacterales; Enterobacteriaceae. The record is from RNAcentral.
CAUAGGUUAAUGAGGCGAACCGGGGGAACUGAAACAUCUAAGUACCCCGAGGAAAAGAAAUCAACCGAGAUUCCCCCAGUAGCGGCGAGCGAACGGGGAGGAGCCCAGAGCCUGAAUCAGUGUGUGUGUUAGUGGAAGCGUCUGGAAAGGCGCGCGAUACAGGGUGACAGCCCCGUACACAAAAAUGCACAUAUUGUGAGCUCGAUGAGUAGGGCGGGACACGUGGUAUCCUGUCUGAAUAUGGGGGGACCAUCCUCCAAGGCUAAAUACUCCUGACUGACCGAUAGUGAACCAGUACCGUGAGGGAAAGGCGAAAAGAACCCCGGCGAGGGGAGUGAAAAAGAACCUGAAACCGUGUACGUACAAGCAGUGGGAGCCUCUUUAUGGGGUGACUGCGUACCUUUUGUAUAAUGGGUCAGCGACUUAUAUUCUGUAGCAAGGUUAACCGAAUAGGGGAGCCGAAGGGAAACCGAGUCUUAACUGGGCGUUAAGUUGCAGGGUAUAGACCCGAAACCCGGUGAUCUAGCCAUGGGCAGGUUGAAGGUUGGGUAACACUAACUGGAGGACCGAACCGACUAAUGUUGAAAAAUUAGCGGAUGACUUGUGGCUGGGGGUGAAAGGCCAAUCAAACCGGGAGAUAGCUGGUUCUCCCCGAAAGCUAUUUAGGUAGCGCCUCGUGAAUUCAUCUCCGGGGGUAGAGCACUGUUUCGGCAAGGGGGUCAUCCCGACUUACCAACCCGAUGCAAACUGCGAAUACCGGAGAAUGUUAUCACGGGAGACACACGGCGGGUGCUAACGUCCGUCGUGAAGAGGGAAACAACCCAGACCGCCAGCUAAGGUCCCAAAGUCAUGGUUAAGUGGGAAACGAUGUGGGAAGGCCCAGACAGCCAGGAUGUUGGCUUAGAAGCAGCCAUCAUUUAAAGAAAGCGUAAUAGCUCACUGGUCGAGUCGGCCUGCGCGGAAGAUGUAACGGGGCUAAACCAUGCACCGAAGCUGCGGCAGCGACACUAUGUGUUGUUGGGUAGGGGAGCGUUCUGUAAGCCUGUGAAGGUGGCCUGUGAGGGUUGCUGGAGGUAUCAGAAGUGCGAAUGCUGACAUAAGUAACGAUAAAGCGGGUGAAAAGCCCGCUCGCCGGAAGACCAAGGGUUCCUGUCCAACGUUAAUCGGGGCAGGGUGAGUCGACCCCUAAGGCGAGGCCGAAAGGCGUAGUCGAUGGGAAACAGGUUAAUAUUCCUGUACUUGGUGUUACUGCGAAGGGGGGACGGAGAAGGCUAUGUUGGCCGGGCGACGGUUGUCCCGGUUUAAGCGUGUAGGCUGGUUUUCCAGGCAAAUCCGGAAAACCAAGGCUGAGGCGUGAUGACGAGGCACUACGGUGCUGAAGCGACAAAUGCCCUGCUUCCAGGAAAAGCCUCUAAGCAUCAGGUAACAUCAAAUCGUACCCCAAACCGACACAGGUGGUCAGGUAGAGAAUACCAAGGCGCUUGAGAGAACUCGGGUGAAGGAACUAGGCAAAAUGGUGCCGUAACUUCGGGAGAAGGCACGCUGAUAUGUAGGUGAAGCGACUUGCUCGUGGAGCUGAAAUCAGUCGAAGAUACCAGCUGGCUGCAACUGUUUAUUAAAAACACAGCACUGUGCAAACACGAAAGUGGACGUAUACGGUGUGACGCCUGCCCGGUGCCGGAAGGUUAAUUGAUGGGGUUAGCGGUAACGCGAAGCUCUUGAUCGAAGCCCCGGUAAACGGCGGCCGUAACUAUAACGGUCCUAAGGUAGCGAAAUUCCUUGUCGGGUAAGUUCCGACCUGCACGAAUGGCGUAAUGAUGGCCAGGCUGUCUCCAC